Molecule: transfer RNA, 73 nt
Filed under: Dermacoccus sp. Ellin185
Lineage: Bacteria; Bacillati; Actinomycetota; Actinomycetes; Micrococcales; Dermacoccaceae
Description: tRNA-Arg
Rfam family: tRNA
About the family: Transfer RNA (tRNA) molecules are approximately 80 nucleotides in length.
Source: RNAcentral
GCUCCCGUAGCUCAGGGGAUAGAGCACCGCUCUCCUAAAGCGGGUGUCGGCAGUUCGAAUCUGCCCGGGAGCA